RNAcentral lists this ribosomal RNA (749 nucleotides) under uncultured bacterium. RNAcentral's name for it is "bacterial SSU rRNA". It matches the Rfam family "Bacterial small subunit ribosomal RNA", at positions 28 to 767 of the family's 1533-position model. The record is from RNAcentral.
GAUGAACGCUAGCGAUAGGCCUAACACAUGCAAGUCGAGGGGCAGCACGGGAGUAGCAAUACAACUGGUGGCGACCGGCGCACGGGUGAGUAACGCGUAUGUAAUCUACCUACAACAGGGGGAUAACCCGGAGAAAUCCGGACUAAUACCGCAUAAAACAGGGGUCCCGCCUGGGACUAUUUGUUAAAGAUUUAUCGGUUGUAGAUGAGCAUGCGUUCCAUUAGAUAGUUGGUAAGGUAACGGCUUACCAAGUCAGCGAUGGAUAGGGGAACUGAGAGGUUUGUCCCCCACACUGGAACUGAGACACGGGCCAGACUCCUACGGGAGGCAGCAGUGAGGAAUAUUGGUCAAUGGGCGAGAGCCUGAACCAGCCAAAUCGCGUGAAGGAAGACUGCCUUAUGGGUUGUAAACUUCUUUUACAGGGGAAUAAAAAGACAUACGAGUAUGUCAUUGCAUGUACCCUGUGAAUAAGCAUCGGCUAACUCCGUGCCAGCAGCCGCGGUAAUACGGAGGAUGCGAGCGUUAUCCGGAUUUAUUGGGUUUAAAGGGUGCGCAGGCGGGAUUUUAAGUCAGCGGUGAAAUACCAACGCUCAACGUUGGAACUGCCGUUGAAACUGGGAUUCUUGAGUAUAGAUCAAGUAGGCGGAAUUCGUUGUGUAGCGGUGACAUGCAUAGAUAUAACGACCACCCCCGAUUGCGUAGGCAGCCUACUAAACUAUAACUGACGCUCAAGCACGAAAGCGUGGCGA